AUUGAACGCUGGCGGCAUGCCUAACACAUGCAAGUCGAGCGGAGCGGCGGAUGGGUGAGUAAUGCCUAGGAAUCUGCCUGGUAGUGGGGGAUAACGUCCGGAAACGGGCGCUACUACCGCAUACUAUCAGAUGAGCCUAGGUCGGAUUAGAUAGUUGGUGGGGUAAAGGCCUACCAAGGCGACGAUCCGUAACUGGUCUGAGAGGAGGAUCAACCAAACUGUAACUGAGAAACGGUCAACACUCCUACGGGAGGCAGCAUUGGGGCAGAUUGCACAAUGGGCUCAAGCCUGAUGCAGCCAUGCCUCUUGUAUGAAGAAGGCCUUCGGGUUGUAAAGUACUUUCAGCGGGGAGGCGUUACCCGCAGAAGAAGCACCGGCUAACUCCGUGCCAGCAGCCGCGGUAAUAC
RNAcentral lists this ribosomal RNA (407 nucleotides) under uncultured bacterium. Its description in RNAcentral is "partial 16S ribosomal RNA". It matches the Rfam family "Bacterial small subunit ribosomal RNA", at positions 30 to 526 of the family's 1533-position model. The record is from RNAcentral.